Molecule: ribosomal RNA, 254 nt
Filed under: uncultured bacterium
Lineage: Bacteria
Description: partial 16S ribosomal RNA
Rfam family: Bacterial small subunit ribosomal RNA
Source: RNAcentral
GACGUAGGGCGCGAGCGUUGUCCGGAUUUAUUGGGCGUAAAGAGCUCGUAGGCGGCUUGUCGCGUCGACUGUGAAAUCCCGAGGCUCAACUUCGGGCUUGCAGUCGAUACGGGCAGGCUAGAGUUCGGGUAGGGGAGACUGGAAUUCCUGGUGUAGCGGUGAAAUGCGCAGAUAUCAGGAGGAACACCGAUGGCGAAGGCAGGUCUCUGGGCCGAUACUGACGCUGAGGAGCGAAAGCGUGGGGAGCGAACAGG